Molecule: long non-coding RNA, 3993 nt
Filed under: Helianthus annuus (common sunflower)
Lineage: Eukaryota; Viridiplantae; Streptophyta; Magnoliopsida; Asterales; Asteraceae
Description: hypothetical non coding rna
Source: RNAcentral
CUCUCGACAUUUCACCCACCCUCUCCAACUCUCUCUGGUUAACUGCACUUUCACGGGUGACCGGAGUUUCGCCGGAGCCGUACGGAGCUUGACGGGACUCCUUUCGUUACGUCGACCUCGAGUCGUUAUGUGUUCGAUCACAACCUAUCGGAGGAACCCGCAAAUCACCGGAGCCAGCCGGAGAGAUCAAAGUCUUCACCGGAGAUCGGAGGUGACAACUGAAGCCACGAUAGGAAGAUAAACGUAUCAUUUGGAAUUCUCCAUUCUUACUCGUGCAUUACUUACAAGAAAUCGCAACGCACCCAAUGUGAGUAUACUUGAUCCCAUUUUUAUUUUAUCACUUUUGGGUGCAACAUGUAUUCUAUAUAAAAACACGCAACGCUUGAAACUUGUUAUAUGCACACUCUAUCCAUUUUUAAACAUGAAACAAUUUGAUGCUUGUUAAUCUUGUAUGCUAUGCAAACAUUUCGUGUCUAUAUGCUCAUUAACCUGGCUAAACUUGUGAGACUUGUGAAACUUGUGAGACUUGUUAGACUUCUUAUACUUAUUUACGCACCGCCCUUGAGUAAGUCUUGGGGUGUUUGCGUUGGAAACUUGUGAGACUUGUGAAACUUCUUAUACUUAUUUAUGCACCGCCCUUGAGUGAGUCUUGGGGUGUUUGCGUUGGAAACUUGUGAGACUUGUGAAACUUCUUAUACUUAUUUACGCACCGCCCUUGAGUGAGUCUUGGGGUGUUUGCGUUGGAAACUUGUGAGACUUGUUAGACUUCUUAUACUUAUUUACGCACCGCCCUUGAGUGAGUCUUGGGGUGUUUGCGUUGGAAACUUGGGUUUGACAUAUAGUGACACCGUUUCAGCAUAUUAGUAACUUGUAUUAUGUUGUUCAUGUUGGAUAUGAGUAUUUAAACUUUUUAUCCUACUUUACGCUAUGUAUCAAACCUGUAUACUCGCCAACUUUUUGUUGAUGUUAUUUUAAUACAUGUUGCAGGUUGAUAGUCAAGAUGAUGAAGGAAUCAAGUUAGGAUGGACUAGAUACCCACUUUAAUAAUAAAUCAUGUUUGUUGUAAUUUGUCUUUAUUUGAAACAAUGUAUUAUUCUUUAGUUUUAAUAAAAUGAUUUAAUUCAUAUUGUCACAUUUAGUGUUAUGUUGUUUUGAGCAAUUUGUUCGUCUCAUCCCGAUGUUUCCGCCAUCGGUUGGGGUGUGACAGAUUGGUAUCAGAGCCAUAACUAUAGGGAAUUAGGUAGGAUUACCUUACUUUUCCCUAGUCUAUAGUAGGAGUACUCUGAUACCAGAUUGGUAUCAGAGCCAUAACUAUAGGGAAUUAGGUAAAUUGCUAUACUUUUCCCUUGUUUAUAGUAGUACUCUGAUACCAGAUUGGUAUCAGAGCCAUAACUAUAGGGAAUUAGGAAUGCCUUGCCUAGUCUAUAGUUUAGGAGCUUAUUCACUAUGUGUUGCUUAAAACAACUUCCUUUCUAUCUUCUUUGCUUCCCUCUACUUUCUUGGACUUUUAAUAUACAUGUCUUUCCUAAGGCUAACACAAUACACUUGGAAGCUUUGAUGACAAUCAUGUAACACAAUCGAAAAGAUUCGUCAAGAUAGGGGUGAUUCCCACACUUGGUGAUGACUUUCACUUAGCUAUACUUUGAUUUUGCACGAAAUCUACCCUCAAGUUAGGAGUGAUAUCCAAACCUUGAAGGGAGCUUUCCAUUUCAUACUCUAGUGGACCCUUAUCUUUUGAUAAGUACCAACCACACUAGGGUACGAUGUUAUCAAGUUAGAGGUGAAACUCGCAUCUUGUUUAACUAGUCCCACUCCUUGAUUUUCAACUCUCGCCAAAGUUUCGAUUUUCCAAAUCGAUUGAGGACGUGUAGUAACUGGAAGGACAAAUAUCGUUAGUCGCUUCUCGAUGAGAGUAUUUGUCUAUUAGGCCAAAACACGGUUCCUUAAUUCGAAAAGGACUUCGAUUUACUUUGGAAUAGUCUUAUGUUUCGUUCCGUGACAAUCCAAUUUUUAUGUUAAAUUUUUUUUAUGCUAUCUCAAUUUUCAUGUGUUUUACAUUUGCACGUUAUAUCAUUUCAAUUUUAAUACAUGCAUACUAAUAUGUUAUACUGGAUUCGUGUCGUUGGGUUAUUCUUAUGUGAUGAACUUGUCCUUUAACCCACACCUUAACAUGUAUAGCACUAUGCGUAGUGCUAUAGGAGUCGCGCCCGCCCGUAUUCUAGUGGUCAUGUUAAGUCUUUCAAUUGCGGUACACGAUGGGUUGACAUGUUUAUUCACAUGCCAGUGAUACGUUAGUUUGGUUAACAAAGUAUGUCAUGUGGAUUGUUCUACAUUUUAUUCUAAUACUCAUAUUUCCCAAAAAUGUAAGCUUAUCAUCAAGAUAGGAGUGAUUUCCUUACCUUGACGAUUAGCUUCGCUCAAUUUUCAACUUCACCAAUGAGCUAGGGGUGAUUUCCUUACCUCGGAGGUAGUUACCAUUACCAACUCUUCUUUAUUCUCAAUGAAACUUUAUAUUUGAGCGUUACUUUCAUUUAAAGCUUGGAGACACGAAUCGCACUAUCUUCGCAAUCUAAAACAAAUAAUGAUAAUCUUUGGCGAACAAACUAAAUUUACGAUGCUUCCAUUAUCUAUGUUACACUACGUGGAAUUCAUGAUAUUGCUAUGUGGAACUAAUUGAACCUUUUACAUGCUAUGUGAAAGAAUAUGCUAUGUGGAAUUAUUUGAAACUAUAUGCUAUGUGACGCAUUCAUGAAAACAAUUUUUUUUUUGAAGCUUUAAAUGCCACUUUUUCCAAAACUCUUACUCUUAGAUUUCGAGGACGAAAUCUCCUAAAGUAGGGGAGACUGUAACAUCCGUCAAAAUGGGCUUCCAAAAAUCCGACCCAUUGAAUUUUGAUCCUAAUCCUUGAAACUCGGAAAUUUUUGCUGCGAAUUAAAUAACCGUCGAAAGAUUUUUUUUUAAAUUAAUUAUCAACAUGGUUAAUUAUUUAUUUAGUUAAUCUAAAUAAUGAUAAUAAUCCUUUGAAAUUUAAAGUUUUUUUAUAAACUAGUAAGUUAAAACGAGUCGUUGUUAAUCUAAAUUAUAACCAGUUAGUUCAGUUAGUAUAACUAUAGGGACUAAAUUUAACGUUUCAAAGAUUAAAAGAAAUGAUAAUAAUAUACUUUUAUUAAUAAAACUUAACCAUUAAUAAAAUUAGAAACCUUGAUACAGGUUUUCAAGGAUUAUAAAAGUUUCCUUUAAACAUACAAGUUUCUUUUACAAGUGAAAGAUUGACUUUUUUUUUUUGAAUUGCUUCAUUGCCGCCAACUGUAAAGGUGCAUGACAACUUUCAUUUAGAUAAUUUGUAGAAGCUAAUUUGUAUCUCUUUUGUUUUUCUCACCACAUAUCAUUCCAUUUCGGAGUUUCCUUUUAAAACCUUCGCCACUUUUUCGGCCGAGUAACUGCCGCUAUUAUUUUCUUUUUAAACUUUCGCAUGAUUUUCGGAAACUUUAAUCACCAAAACGGGAUUUCAGAAACGCGUUUUCGGAACUCUAUAAAACCGAAACUUUUUCAUCUCGACACCCUCACAACCCUCUCGACAUUUCACCCACACUCUCCAACUCUCUCUGGUUAACUGCACUUUCACGGGUGACCGGAGUUUCGCCGGAGCCGUACGGAGCUUGACGGGACUCCCUUCGUUACGUCGACCUCGAGUCGUUAUGUGUUCGAUCACAACCUAUCGGAGGAACCCGCAAAUCACAGGAGCCAGCCGGAGAGAUCAAAGUCUUCACCGGAGAUCGGAGGUGACAACUGAAGCCACGACAGGAAGUCACGGCUAAAACGUAUUCGGUAUACCUUUCUGUUUCCUGGCAUAUGUUCGUUUUUCUCAUAUAUAAACUAGAGGCAAUGGCUAGCAUUAAUGAAUCAUGAAUUUAAAGUUACAAAUGUGUGUAUAUAUAUAAACUGUGUGUAUGGUCUUUUUUAGAAAGAAGAUCACAACUUUUGUCAUUACUU